Molecule: non-coding RNA, 29 nt
Filed under: Rattus norvegicus (Norway rat)
Lineage: Eukaryota; Metazoa; Chordata; Mammalia; Rodentia; Muridae
Source: RNAcentral
GCCCCAUGUAGUGGCAAAAGCCUACCUGC